GACGAACGCUGGCGGCGUGCUUAACACAUGCAAGUCGAACGAUGAAAGAGGAGCUUGCUUCUCUGGAUUAGUGGCGAACGGGUGAGUAACACGUGAGUAACCUGCCCUUGACUCUGGGAUAAGCGCUGGAAACGGCGUCUAAUACCGGAUACGAGCUUCCGCCGCAUGGUGAGGAGCGGGAAAGAAUUUCGGUCAAGGAUGGACUCGCGGCCUAUCAGCUUGUUGGUGAGGUAAUGGCUCACCAAGGCGACGACGGGUAGCCGGCCUGAGAGGGUGACCGGCCACACUGGGACUGAGACACGGCCCAGACUCCUACGGGAGGCAGCAGUGGGGAAUAUUGCACAAUGGGCGCAAGCCUGAUGCAGCAACGCCGCGUGAGGGAUGACGGCCUUCGGGUUGUAAACCUCUUUUAGUAGGGAAGAAGCGAAAGUGACGGUACCUGCAGAAAAAGCACCGGCUAACUACGUGCCAGCAGCCGCCGUAAAAC
This 487-nucleotide ribosomal RNA is filed under the name uncultured bacterium. Its description in RNAcentral is "bacterial SSU rRNA". It matches the Rfam family "Bacterial small subunit ribosomal RNA", at positions 28 to 526 of the family's 1533-position model. The record is from RNAcentral.